Molecule: ribosomal RNA, 625 nt
Filed under: Escherichia coli
Lineage: Bacteria; Pseudomonadati; Pseudomonadota; Gammaproteobacteria; Enterobacterales; Enterobacteriaceae
Description: partial 23S ribosomal RNA
Rfam family: Bacterial large subunit ribosomal RNA
Source: RNAcentral
GGGUAGUUUGACUGGGGCGGUCUCCUCCUAAAGAGUAACGGAGGAGCACGAAGGUUGGCUAAUCCUGGUCGGACAUCAGGAGGUUAGUGCAAUGGCAUAAGCCAGCUUGACUGCGAGCGUGACGGCGCGAGCAGGUGCGAAAGCAGGUCAUAGUGAUCCGGUGGUUCUGAAUGGAAGGGCCAUCGCUCAACGGAUAAAAGGUACUCCGGGGAUAACAGGCUGAUACCGCCCAAGAGUUCAUAUCGACGGCGGUGUUUGGCACCUCGAUGUCGGCUCAUCACAUCCUGGGGCUGAAGUAGGUCCCAAGGGUAUGGCUGUUCGCCAUUUAAAGUGGUACGCGAGCUGGGUUUAGAACGUCGUGAGACAGUUCGGUCCCUAUCUGCCGUGGGCGCUGGAGAACUGAGGGGGGCUGCUCCUAGUACGAGAGGACCGGAGUGGACGCAUCACUGGUGUUCGGGUUGUCAUGCCAAUGGCACUGCCCGGUAGCUAAAUGCGGAAGAGAUAAGUGCUGAAAGCAUCUAAGCACGAAACUUGCCCCGAGAUGAGUUCUCCCUGAGACUUUAAGUCUCCUGAAGGAACGUUGAAGACGACGACGUUGAUAGGCCGGGUGUGUAAGCGCAGCGAU